UUCUGUUUCAGUGAGCCUGGGUGGGGCCUGAGAUCCUGGAUUUCUAACAAGCCCCCAGGUGAAGCCCUUAC
This 71-nucleotide microRNA precursor is filed under the name Chlorocebus sabaeus (green monkey). RNAcentral describes it as "miRNA (ENSCSAG00000026767.1)". The record is from RNAcentral. Lineage: Eukaryota; Metazoa; Chordata; Mammalia; Primates; Cercopithecidae.